CCUACGGGCGGCAGCAGUGGGGAAUAUUGGGCAAUGGGCGAAAGCCUGACCCAGCAACGCCGCGUGAAGGAAGAAGGCUUUCGGGUUGUAAACUUCUUUUGACAGGGAAGAGCAGAAGACGGUACCUGUCGAAUAAGCCACGGCUAACUACGUGCCAGCAGCCGCGGUAAUACGUAGGUGGCAAGCGUUGUCCGGAUUUAUUGGGUUUAAAGGGUGCGCAGGCGGGAGAUCAAGUCAGCGGUAAAAUGUCGGGGCUCAACCCCGGCCGGCCGUUGAAACUGGUUUUCUAGAGUUGGAGAGAAGUAUGCGGAAUUCGUGGUGUAGCGGUGAAAUGCAUAGAUAUCACGAAGAACUCCGAUUGCGAAGGCAGCAUACCGGCUCCAUACUGACGCUGAGGCACGAAAGCGUGGGGAUCGAACAGGAUUAGAUACCCGGGUAGUC
RNAcentral lists this ribosomal RNA (441 nucleotides) under uncultured bacterium. RNAcentral's name for it is "partial 16S ribosomal RNA". It matches the Rfam family "Bacterial small subunit ribosomal RNA", at positions 338 to 795 of the family's 1533-position model. The record is from RNAcentral.